UUUUCUGUGAUGGAAGUGGAGAGGGC
This 26-nucleotide non-coding RNA is filed under the name Rattus norvegicus (Norway rat). Lineage: Eukaryota; Metazoa; Chordata; Mammalia; Rodentia; Muridae. The record is from RNAcentral.